AACGCGUAUGCAAUCUACCUUUUACAGAGGGAUAGCCCAGAGAAAUUUGGAUUAAUACCUCAUAGUAUUAUGAAAUGGCAUCAUUUUAUAAUUAAAGUCACAACGGUAAAAGAUGAGCAUGCGUCCCAUUAGCUAGUUGGUAAGGUAACGGCUUACCAAGGCUACGAUGGGUAGGGGUCCUGAGAGGGAGAUCCCCCACACUGGUACUGAGACACGGACCAGACUCCUACGGGAGGCAGCAGUGAGGAAUAUUGGACAAUGGGCGCAAGCCUGAUCCAGCCAUGCCGCGUGCAGGAUGACGGUCCUAUGGAUUGUAAACUGCUUUUAUACGAGAAGAAACACUACUUCGUGAAGUAGCUUGACGGUAUCGUAAGAAUAAGGAUCGGCUAACUCCGUGCCAGCAGCCGCGGUAAUACGGAGGAUCCAAGCGUUAUCCGGAAUCAUUGGGUUUAAAGGGUCCGUAGGCGGUUUAAUAAGUCAGUGGUGAAAGCCCAUCGCUCAACGGUGGAACGGCCAUUGAUACUGUUAAACUUGAAUUAUUAGGAAGUAACUAGAAUAUGUAGUGUAGCGGUGAAAUGCUUAGAGAUUACAUGGAAUACCAAUUGCGAAGGCAGGUUACUACUAAUGGAUUGACGCUGAUGGACGAAAGCGUGGGUAGCGAACAGGAUUAGAUACCCUGGUAGUCCACGCCGUAAACGAUGGAUACUAGCUGUUGG
Molecule: ribosomal RNA, 716 nt
Filed under: Flavobacterium sp. A19MT3
Lineage: Bacteria; Pseudomonadati; Bacteroidota; Flavobacteriia; Flavobacteriales; Flavobacteriaceae
Description: bacterial SSU rRNA
Rfam family: Bacterial small subunit ribosomal RNA
Source: RNAcentral